This 235-nucleotide long non-coding RNA is filed under the name Lathyrus oleraceus (garden pea). RNAcentral describes it as "Pisum sativum (pea) long non-coding RNA (PSAT_LNC036266)". The record is from RNAcentral. Lineage: Eukaryota; Viridiplantae; Streptophyta; Magnoliopsida; Fabales; Fabaceae.
UUUGACAAGACCUUCGGUCUUAUGUCUACAUACCAAUAUAUAAAUGAGGGAUCAAAACCCCGUAGUUCAUGGUAAAAAUUUCAAAAAAAGUUGAUGAAUUGGUUUUAAUUAAAAAGUCUAACAGAAAAGGGCACAAAAAGGCCAAAAGGUUCAAAUGAAGUUGUUAAUUCUUUUUAUAUUUUUGAAACUAAGGUCAAUAUGAUUAAGUUUAUUCAUAAGUUUGAUUAGGAAAAAG